Molecule: ribosomal RNA, 227 nt
Filed under: uncultured bacterium
Lineage: Bacteria
Description: partial 16S ribosomal RNA
Rfam family: Bacterial small subunit ribosomal RNA
Source: RNAcentral
AACGUGGGCAACCUGCCCUGUAGACGGGGAUAACACCGAGAAAUCGGUGCUAAUACCGGAUAACACGAAAUGUCGCAUGACGUUUCGUUGAAAGACGGCGCAAGCUGUCGCUACAGGAUGGGCCCGCGGCGCAUUAGCUAGUUGGUGAGGUAACGGCUCACCAAGGCGACGAUGCGUAGCCGACCUGAGAGGGUGAUCGGCCACACUGGGACUGAGACACGGCCCAG